CCUACGGGUGGCAGCAGUGAGGAAUAUUGGUCAAUGGGCGCGAGCCUGAACCAGCCAAGUAGCGUGAAGGAUGACUGCCCUACGGGUGGUAAACUUCGUUUAUAAAGGAAUAAAGUGAGGCACGUGGGCCGUUUUGUAUGUACUUUAUGAAUAAGGAUCGGCUAACUCCGUGCCAGCAGCCGCGGUAAUACGGAGGAUCCGAGCGUUAUCCGGAUUUAUUGUGUUUAAAGGGAGCGUAGAUGGGUUGUUAAGUCAGUUGUGAGAGUUUGCGGCUCAACCGUAAAAUUGCAAUUGAUACUGGCAGUCUUGCGUACAGUUGAGGUAGGCGGAAUUCGUGGUGUAGCGGU
This 347-nucleotide ribosomal RNA is filed under the name uncultured bacterium. Its description in RNAcentral is "partial 16S ribosomal RNA". It matches the Rfam family "Bacterial small subunit ribosomal RNA", at positions 338 to 682 of the family's 1533-position model. The record is from RNAcentral.